This 497-nucleotide ribosomal RNA is filed under the name uncultured bacterium. RNAcentral describes it as "partial 16S ribosomal RNA". It matches the Rfam family "Bacterial small subunit ribosomal RNA", at positions 30 to 522 of the family's 1533-position model. The record is from RNAcentral.
AUUGAACGCUGGCGGCAUGCCUUACACAUGCAAGUCGAACGGUAACAGGUCUUCGGAUGCUGACGAGUGGCGAACGGGUGAGUAAUACAUCGGAACGUGCCUAGUAGUGGGGGAUAACUACUCGAAAGAGUGGCUAAUACCGCAUGAGAUCUACGGAUGAAAGCAGGGGAUCGCAAGACCUUGUGCUACUAGAGCGGCCGAUGGCAGAUUAGGUAGUUGGUGGGAUAAAAGCUUACCAAGCCGACGAUCUGUAGCUGGUCUGAGAGGACGAUCAGCCACACUGGGACUGAGACACGGCCCAGACUCCUACGGGAGGCAGCAGUGGGGAAUUUUGGACAAUGGGCGAAAGCCUGAUCCAGCAAUGCCGCGUGCAGGAUGAAAGCCUUCGGGUUGUAAACUGCUUUUGUACGGAACGAAAAGCCCCGGGUUAAUACCCUGGGGUCAUGACGGUACCGUAAGAAUGAGCACCGGCUAACUACGUGCCAGCCGCCGCGUAA